AGAGCCAUAGCUUAGUGGUAGAGAAUCUGCUUUGCACGAGGAAGGUCCCUGGUUCAACUCCUGACGUCUCUA
Podarcis lilfordi (Lilford's wall lizard) is the source of this 72-nucleotide non-coding RNA. The record is from the annotation of a GenBank genome assembly. Lineage: Eukaryota; Metazoa; Chordata; Lepidosauria; Squamata; Lacertidae.